AACGAACGCUGGCGGCAUGCCUAACACAUGCAAGUCGAACGAGACCUUCGGGUCUAGUGGCGCUCGGGUGCGUAACGCGUGGGAAUCUACCCUUGGGCUCGGAAUAACAGUUAGAAAUGACCGCUAAUACCGGAUGAUGACGUAAGUCCAAAGAUUUAUCGCCCAAGGAUGAGCCCGCGUAAGAUUAGCUUGUUGGUGGGGUAAUGGCCUACCAAGGCGACGAUCCUUAGCUGGUCUGAGAGGAUGAUCAGCCACACUGGGACUGAGACACGGCCCAGACUCCUACGGGAGGCAGCAGUGGGGAAUAUUGGACAAUGGGCGAAAGCCUGAUCCAGCAAUGCCGCGUGAGUGAUGAAGGCCUUAGGGUUGUAAAGCUCUUUUACCAGGGAUGAUAAUGACAGUACCUGGAGAAUAAGCUCCGGCUAACUCCGUGCCAGCAGCCGCCGUAA
RNAcentral lists this ribosomal RNA (449 nucleotides) under uncultured bacterium. RNAcentral describes it as "partial 16S ribosomal RNA". It matches the Rfam family "Bacterial small subunit ribosomal RNA", at positions 29 to 523 of the family's 1533-position model. The record is from RNAcentral.